This is a long non-coding RNA of Magnolia sinica, 607 nucleotides long. RefSeq lists it as uncharacterized. Lineage: Eukaryota; Viridiplantae; Streptophyta; Magnoliopsida; Magnoliales; Magnoliaceae. The record is from RefSeq and is a predicted model, not a curated record. The transcript has 3 exons.
UUGGAGAAACAACUACAAAGGUUGGCAGAGAUAGACUAAAGACUUGGAACAAGAGCAAGCCAGCAUAGAGGAUCUGGCAAGGCAGCUGUGCUGGAAGAAAAUUGCACUUAGGGGCCUAUUUGCAAUGUGCCAAAAGCCAACGAAUCAUAUUCAUUGUAUUCGGAAAUCGAAGAUUCUGGCAUCUCCUCCCUUCUGCACAGCAACUGAUCCCGAUGCUGCUUGGCUGAAAUUGACAGGGAAGCAGGAGGAAACAAGGAAUCAUCAGUGAAGUUUAAGUCCAGCUAGUCCUUUAGCCAUUGUCUACUUAUAGAGACCUAGAAGCGUUAGCAUAAGAACAGAUACAAAGCAAUAAUUUAUUUAUUUGUACGGGGUUUUGACAAAUCUCUUGCUGUGGAUCAGGUGAAGUUCUAUAAAUCCUUUACCUUUAUGAGUGUAUGCAUGUGCUUGUAGCUAGUUGUAAAUGAUUUACAGGUUGUGUUUGAAUGCUAAUUUAAACCUGUAAAGGUCUUUUGAUUUAGAAGAUUCAGCCUAGCAGAAUUUUUAAUUGUUUCUAUUAUUUUUUCUUUUACACUGUAAAUGAUUUAUCGGCAUUUUUUAAUCUCCCAUU